Molecule: ribosomal RNA, 253 nt
Filed under: uncultured bacterium
Lineage: Bacteria
Description: partial 16S ribosomal RNA
Rfam family: Bacterial small subunit ribosomal RNA
Source: RNAcentral
UACAGAGGGUGCAAGCGUUAAUCGGAAUUACUGGGCGUAAAGCGCACGUAGGCGGUUUUUUAAGUCAGAUGUGAAAGCCCCGGGCUCAACCUGGGAAUUGCAUUUGAAACUGGGGAACUAGAGUGUGUGAGAGGGGGGUAGAAUUCCAAGUGUAGCGGUGAAAUGCGUAGAGAUUUGGAGGAAUACCAGUGGCGAAGGCGGCCCCCUGGCACAUCACUGACGCUCAGGUGCGAAAGCGUGGGGAGCAAACAGG